UCUUCUGCUAACUGAUGAUGAAUCUUACU
Molecule: non-coding RNA, 29 nt
Filed under: Homo sapiens (human)
Lineage: Eukaryota; Metazoa; Chordata; Mammalia; Primates; Hominidae
Source: RNAcentral